GUGGGGAAUAUUGGGCAAUGGGCGAAAGCCUGACCCAGCAACGCCGCGUGAAGGAAGAAGGUUUUCGGAUCGUAAACUUCUAUCCUUGGUGAAGAUAAUGACGGUAGCCAAGAAGGAAGCCCCGGCUAACUACGUGCCAGCAGCCGCGGUAAUACGUAGGGGGCAAGCGUUGUCCGGAAUGAUUGGGCGUAAAGGGCGCGUAGGCGGCCCGGUAAGUCUGAAGUGAAAGUCCUGCUUUUAAGGUGGGAAUUGCUUUGGAUACUGUCGGGCUUGAGUGCAGGAGAGGUAAGCGGAAUUCCCGGUGUAGCGGUGAAAUGCGUAGAGAUCGGGAGGAACACCAGUGGCGAAGGCGGCUUACUGGACUGUAACUGACGCUGAGGCGCGAAAGUGUGGGGAGCAAACAGGAUUAGAUACCCUUGUAGUC
Molecule: ribosomal RNA, 424 nt
Filed under: uncultured bacterium
Lineage: Bacteria
Description: partial 16S ribosomal RNA
Rfam family: Bacterial small subunit ribosomal RNA
Source: RNAcentral